ACGGGAGGCAGCAGUGGGGAAUAUUGGUCAAUGGGGGCAACCCUGAACCAGCAACGCCGCGUGAGUGAAGAAGUAUUUCGGUAUGUAAAGCUCUAUCAGCAGGGAAGAUAAUGACAGUACCUGACUAAGAAGCACCGGCUAAAUACGUGCCAGCAGCCGCGGUAAUACGUAUGGUGCAAGCGUUAUCCGGAUUUACUGGGUGUAAAGGGAGCGUAGACGGCAUGGCAAGUCUGAAGUGAAAGCCUGGGGCUCAACCCCGGAACUGCUUUGGAAACUGUUAAGCUAGAGUGCAGGAGAGGUAAGUGGAAUUCCUAGUGUAGCGGUGAAAUGCGUAGAUAUUAGGAGGAACACCAGUGGCGAAGGCGGCUUACUGGACUGUAACUGACGUUGAGGCUCGAAAGCGUGGGGAGCAAACAGGAUUAGAUACCCUGGUA
Molecule: ribosomal RNA, 434 nt
Filed under: uncultured Clostridium sp.
Lineage: Bacteria; Bacillati; Bacillota; Clostridia; Eubacteriales; Clostridiaceae
Description: partial 16S ribosomal RNA
Rfam family: Bacterial small subunit ribosomal RNA
Source: RNAcentral